Molecule: ribosomal RNA, 465 nt
Filed under: uncultured bacterium
Lineage: Bacteria
Description: partial 16S ribosomal RNA
Rfam family: Bacterial small subunit ribosomal RNA
Source: RNAcentral
CCUACGGGAGGCAGCAGUGGGGAAUAUUGCGCAAUGGGCGAAAGCCUGACGCAGCGACGCCGCGUGAGGGAUGAAGGUCUUCGGAUCGUAAACCUCUGUCAGCAGGGAAGAACGGUCACUGUGCUAAUCAGCAGUGAAUUGACGGUACCUGCAAAGGAAGCACCGGCUAACUCCGUGCCAGCAGCCGCGGUAAUACGGAGGGUGCGAGCGUUAAUCGGAAUUACUGGGCGUAAAGCGCUCGUAGGCGGUAUGUCAAGUCAAGGGUGAAAUCCCCGCGCUCAACGUGGGAACUGCCUUUGAAACUGGCAAACUGGGGUGUGUGAGAGGAUAGUGGAAUUCCAGGUGUAGGAGUGAAAUCCGUAGAUAUCUGGGGGAACAUCAGUGGCGAAGGCGACUAUCUGGCACAUAACUGACGCUGAGGAGCGAAAGCGUGGGUAGCAAACAGGAUUAGAUAACCGGGUAGUC